UAGGGAAUCUUCCACAAUGGACGCAAGUCUGAUGGAGCAACGCCGCGUGAGUGAAGAAGGUUUUCGGACCGUAAAGCUCUGUUGUUGGUGAAGAAGGAUAGAGGUAGUAACUGGCUUUUAUUUGACGGUAAUCAACCAGAAAGUCACGGCUAACUACGUGCCAGCAGCCGCGGUAAUACGUAGGUGGCAAGCGUUGUCCGGAUUUAUUGGGCGUAAAGCGAGCGCAGGCGGAAGAAUAAGUCUGAUGUGAAAGCCCUCGGCUUAACCGAGGAAUUGCAUCGGAAACUGUUUUCUUGAGUGCAGAAGAGGAGAGUAGAAACUCCAUG
This 326-nucleotide ribosomal RNA is filed under the name uncultured bacterium. RNAcentral describes it as "partial 16S ribosomal RNA". It matches the Rfam family "Bacterial small subunit ribosomal RNA", at positions 355 to 674 of the family's 1533-position model. The record is from RNAcentral.